Molecule: ribosomal RNA, 253 nt
Filed under: uncultured bacterium
Lineage: Bacteria
Description: partial 16S ribosomal RNA
Rfam family: Bacterial small subunit ribosomal RNA
Source: RNAcentral
UACGGGGGGGGCAAGCGUUGUUCGGAAUUACUGGGCGUAAAGGGCUCGUAGGCGGCCAACUAAGUCCGACGUGAAAUCCCCAGGCUCAACCUGGGAACUGCGUCGGAUACUGGAUGGCUUGAAUUCGGGAGAGGGAUGCAGAAUUCCAGGUGUAGCGGUGAAAUGCGUAGAUAUCUGGAGGAAUACCGGUGGCGAAGGCGGCAUCCUGGACCGACAUUGACGCUGAGGAGCGAAAGCUAGGGGAGCGAACGGG